Molecule: long non-coding RNA, 477 nt
Filed under: Anser brachyrhynchus (Pink-footed goose)
Lineage: Eukaryota; Metazoa; Chordata; Aves; Anseriformes; Anatidae
Description: lncRNA (ENSABRG00000011680.1)
Source: RNAcentral
CUUCCAUGUCCAUUCAUACCCUGGGUGUAGACAUGUCCUAACAUUCACAGGUGAAGAGACUUCCACUUUGUAUUGCCUACAGAUUUUAAAAAAUCCUCUUUCAUUGUUUCCACACCAAAGGCUAAAAUACAGUAAAUUCAGUGCUACCUUUCUUCCUUCCUGUGCCAUCCCUUUCUGAGAAGAGAUGGCAACACCGGCAACUGCCUGCUGGACUAUAAAGAACACUGGUGUAGCUUCACAAUCAAGAUCUAACAAGACAAGGCCAAAUUCAGUGGAUCCAUGUGAUUGUAGGCUCAUUUAUGUCAACAGACAGGACUUCCUGAAGCUAUACAGUUCAGAACUGCUUUACCACUUCUGUGAAAGGACAAAAGCUAGCCAGAAGACAGUGAGGUGGCUUAAAUAGAACUUAAGGAACUGUAGCUCUAAAUGAUUAGAACCGGAAAUAAAUUUUAUAAAAAGAAAAAAAAAUAAAAAGAA